GGACACGUCUUCGAAGAGGAUGUUGAAGACUUUUCAAGAAUCAGACGUGCCGCUGCCGCCGCCACUGGUGAGGGUGAGGCCAAAGACGCGGUGGAUGGCACGAGAAUGUUGGAUGACCUGACGCUGAUCAAGGAGAUACGGUACAAUUGCAGCAUCUACUUCACGUACUUCUGGAUUCAGGAGGUAGAGAGAAACUUCGUGGAGGAUUAUGAUGAUUCUUAUGUGGACCUCAAAGCAGUAGGCUCCAACUGCCCGAAAGAUGAUUACAAGGAAACCAUAACGUUCAACCCGAUCUGUAACCUGGAAAUAGUGUGCGACAACUUCGGCUGCUUCGAUUACUUCCUCCAAGAUUACAAGGAGAAAGUGAAUGAUACCUACCGCUGCCCGUCCUGUGGCAAGGGCGAGUGUUGGAUGAAGACUUGGCUCGAGGACUACGAGAAUGGCUUCCUGGACGCGUACCAAGUGAGUGGAAUCUUCAGUGCGAGUCGGACAGCGGACUUCUCAGACAUGCUGGGCGUCUACUCACCCUCCAAGGAAGACAUCGGAAAGUACUCCCUGUCAGCCAAGGAAUUCAUUAAGUCCUGCAGCUACGACCGUCGCCCCUGCAACCACAAGCAAUUCUUCUCGUGGACAAGUGAUCAGUUCGGCCAGUGCUACACCUUCAACUCUGCCCUCCGCAAGAUUACUCACAAUGGCAAGACCUUCUUGGCCCGGGUAAAGGCCACCACAUCCACGGGGCCUAUGAACGGGCUCCGACUCUCCUUGAACAUCAACGAAGACGAGUACCUGUCGCUUCUCUCUCCCGACACCGGCGUGAGAGUUAUCGUGCACAGUCCCCACCAGCUGCCAUUCCCAGAGGAGGAGGGCUUUAACGUGUCCCCCGGCGUCAGUGUCUCCGUCAGCAUGUCCAGGAAAAUCAUCCAGAGAGUGGGUUACCCUCAUGGAAAGUGCAGGAGUGAAACUGGUUCUUCAGUAUACAAGGAAUACACAAGUCUCAGGUGCAAGAAGGUGUGCCUGGAGGAAGAGUACUGGCGGGAGUGUGACUGCUACGUAGGGAAGAGCCCCGUGUACCAUCAAGACAAGCAACAUGUUCUCCGGCCUGAGAUCGCCUGCUCUCCAUUCAACAUGAGGCAUAAGCUGUGCAUGGAGAUGGUGCAGUACGCGUACCUUAAGGGCAAACUCCAGUGUAACUGCCCGCCUGCCUGCAAAGAGACGGUGUUCAAUCCACAAGUGACGGUCAGCAAGGGAAACCAGAAAUUUUUCACCAUUCUACAGAACUUGAAGAAAACAGUGGUGGACGAUAGUCUUUGUAACAAUUACGGCAACAACAGUGAUCCUGUCCGCCUGCACUUCUACAUGAACUCCCUCGCCUAUGAGAAGAUCGAGGAGAGUCCCGCCUUCACGUGGAACACUCUGGUGUGUAAUGUGGGCGGCAACCUGGGCCUUUUCCUGGGCAUGUCCAUCGUGACCCUGGUGGAACUGCUGGAGUUCCUCAUCGACCUGCUGUUUGGCUGCUGCAACUGCAGGAGGAAUGACACCAUGCAUCGUGGUGGUGGUGGUGGUGGUGGCAACUCCCCGGUGAUAGGUCAGGAUGGCUUCUAUUGAUGCCUCCCUUCUCACCCUCAGCCUUAAUACUUUACUGCCCUACUGCCCCCACUAGAAGCACGGCCAGCACCUCCGCCUCCCCAUCAGCCCCAGGACAGUCAGUGGUGGGAGAGAGAGAGUUACUACUCCCCAAGACGUGUUGCUUCUGCUGCCUUUAACAGAAUCUUCAUGGGUAAAUAAAUU
RNAcentral lists this unclassified non-coding RNA (1788 nucleotides) under Portunus trituberculatus (swimming crab). Its description in RNAcentral is "acid-sensing ion channel 2-like, transcript variant X2". The record is from RNAcentral. Lineage: Eukaryota; Metazoa; Arthropoda; Malacostraca; Decapoda; Portunidae.